CCCUAUAUCUUAAAAAAAAAAAAAAAACAAACCAACCAUCUUGUUUUUGAUUGUCCAAGAAAUUUGGGAUUAACCCCAAACCUGGUUUAUCCUAAAGCUUAUUAUUGAAAUUCCUAGUUACCAUUUCAGUUUUAUCAUUAUGAACAGUUUAUAAAUCAUUUCUUGAAUUAGUACUAUCAAUGCCAUUCCAUUUAUGCUGUAAAAGCUCACUUAUUAGUGAUUUCUAAUUUCACAGGGUUGACCGAUUUUUGGAAACUUUUUUGUAGUACCAUUUUUUCAAAACUAUCAAAAUUUUUUGGAUAAUUUGUACUGAUCUUUAACAUAAACAGAGUAUUAGCUGACAUCAUGAUAAAUUAUGACUGAUUAUUUUUGAAACUUGACCUUCUUGACCUUGAUAUCAAGCAAAGUAUAAUUUCCCCUUGACUAUGGUCUAUAUUUUUAUAUGAUUUUUAUAGCUAACUAUUGUUAUAAUGUAUUUAUCUCAAUUUUUAGGAGUGUAUUUCCUUAUUCUUAAGAUAUCCACUAAAAAGUAAAAAGUUACCUACAUUCAUAUAAUUUUGCUUAAAAUUAUAAACAUGAUUAUUACAUAGAUUUUUAAAAAAUCCAGUAUUCUUUUUCCUUUCUUUUCUGUCUGGGAUUAGAUUUCUCCAUCAUUCUGCUCUCUGCACCCAUUAUAUCAGCUCCUUCACCUUCCUCCAGAUACUGCAAUAUAAUAACUUAGUGUAAACCACUCUAAUAAAUCAACCUGCACUUUGCCUUGCAUUCAUGGAAUACUACACUGACAUGUAUAUGUGUACAGGAUUUCUAAAUACCAGGAUUUCUCUUUCUUUCUCCAAAAGUAUGAUUUUAUGUAUAUUUUUCUGCUUCUUGCUUUCUCACUCAAUAGUAUCCUUUGGGAAUCUGUCUAAAUCAUCUGACAUAGCACUUUGUUAUUUAUGAUGGCUCCAUAAUAUUCUGUUCUGUGAUGUGUCGCUCAGCAAUUCAUAUAUUGAUGGGAAUUCAUUUUGUUUCUGUGCUUAAGUUCUGAUAAAUUUUGCAAUAAUCAUGUCUAUAGGCAUGUUCUCACCAACUGGUUUUUAUGUCUAUGAGAUAGAUUUCCAAGAGUGAGAGUUCUGUGUUAAAGGGUAUAUGUACUUUUAAUUUUAAUAGAUCUCUACACUGCUCCCCUUAAAGGCUGAAAUAUUUCAAACGUCUAGCAAUACAUGAGAGCACACCUUUUCUCACAUUUCCACCAGUAAAAAGUUCUGUAGCUCUACUCAUUUUUCCCCCUGGGCUUAUGGGUGAAAUAUGGUAUCUCAUUGUCACUUUAGUUUUUAUUUCCCUGAUUACUAUCAAUUUGAGCCUUUUAUUAUAUAUCUGUUGUCCAUUUGGAUUUGCUGUCAAAUUUGGUACACCACUAAAUUGUGUGUGUGUGUUCCUAGUUUGUGAAUAAAUUAUAAAAGGUAUUUUACAUAUAUAUAUAUAUAUAUGGAUAUAAUGGAUAUUAGCAUUUAUUUAACUGAUUUUAUUUUGUUCCUUAACUUUGGUUAUUGUAUUUUUGGUACAUAAUUUUUAUGCAGUCAAAUUUGGCAAAUACAUAAAAUACCAAAAAAUAGUAAAAACGAUCUAUAAUCUCAAUAUGCCUUUUUCUCCCUUUUUGAGGUGUAAAUAAUGGAAGUCUCUCCCUUUGUUCCCCCCAAAUCCUAUGGCUCCAGAAAUACUACAGUCAAUAUUUUGGUAUGUGGACUUCCGGUUUUUAAUUCAUGCAUAAAGAAAUAUAUCUAAGUCCUUAUUGUAAAGAAGAGAUGGUAUUAUGAAAUGUCGGCUUUUUUUGGUCCCUUCAGUUCCUUAUUUUACUCAACUACUCCCUCAUCCUUGCUAAGUUCUUAGCAAGUUCCACACAAGUUCUUAGUAGGAAUAACGAGUCUGGAAAAAUUCUUGUCCGUUUACAUUUUUUGCUCCUUUGAUAUAGGAUGAGAAAUAAUGACUUUUCCUGGUCUGAGAUUUAAACAAAAAGAAUCAGAGAGGAACCAACGCUUGACUGUGGGUCUUUGAGACCCACAGAAGUUGACCUUGAAUUCUGGCCCUUCCCCUUUAGGUCAGACAGCCUUCCUGAGGGGAUAAAGCCCUCAGGCAUGUUUGGUGAUCUGAGGACAAGUACUUCAGCAUCACCAGCAGUAAUUAGGGAGGCAGACGCUUCCCUGGAUUGAGUGGAGUCAUUCGUAGUGCUACUGCUUAGCAUGAGGAAGCUUGUUUGUGGACACCUGAGUUGGUGGCUUAUGCCCUGUGUCAGUCUCUCAGCAGUAGAGACCUUGGCUGCAGAUAUUUCUGAAGGAAGUCAGGUCAGAGAAAAAAAGAGAACGACAGAUGACCAAUGACAGUCAGCAGGCUGUGUCCCUUCUACAGGAGACAUCCCUGGGAGCCAUUUAAAAGAUCAAUGGUCCCACAAUAGCAAAUGGGCACACAAACUAGUAAUACGAUCCCCAUUUAAAACGUCCAGGCUAGGGGAGCCUGGCUGGCUCAGCUAGUGGAACAUGCCAACUCUUGAUCUUGGGGUUGUUGAGUUGGAGCCCCAUGUUGGGUGUAAAGAUUACUUAAACAAACAAACAAAUGUAGAAAAAAUCUCCAGGUUAGUGUGGCAUGCAGAAAGAGAAAAUAGAGAGAGAACACUUAUUAGUGCUCAAAGAAAUAAAAUUUAAACAAUGAAAUAUAACACUCUUCAUGUUUCAAAUUGGCAGACACCAAGCAAAAGCCAUAUUCAGUUCUUUCUAGUGUGGGCAAUUCUUCUAUACCGCCGCUAUUACAUACAUUGGCACACAUUUUCUGGAUGGCAAUUUGAGAGUAUAUAAAAAGAUUCUCAUGUAAUCAUUCUAUCACUUGAAAUCUAAGAAAUUAAUCAAUGAAGCAACACAAAUAUUUAUCUCCACAGAUACUCGUCUCAACAUCGUUUAUCAAAGCAAAAGUCAGAAAUAAACGAAAUGGACCAUCACCGUACAUUUUCUCCAUUUUUUCUCAUCAUUUCUACAUUUUCUCUAAUAAGCGUACAUUACUUUUGUAAAGGGAAAAAUAAUAAUUAGAAAAUAAAAAAUCAUUAGGCAGUUUGGGUGUUCAUAUCAAAGUACAACAAAAUAUGGAUCACUUCCGAAUCACAUGGCCAUGAGCUGAAUGACUAAUGUAAGUCCAUUGCCAAGACAAGACAAAAAUGUUGUUCUUCAGGGCGUUUAUUUAGACAGACAUGUAUACGAUAAGUUUAUUUUCAGUAAUCACAACAAAAUUAGAGAAAUUUUCCACCCAUCCAAUUUUCCAUUCACAAAACUGUCCCAUUUUAACUGUGUAGAACAUUAAGAUGCAAACAAUGCAAUGUUGUUUCUUAAGUAAACUCAGAAAAUGUGUUUGGAUCUCCAUGAACUUUCUACAUGUAAGGGAAAUAAAAAAUGUUAAAUUCUUACAUAAAAAGAGGAAGGGGAAUGAGAGAAAGGGAACCUAACCUGAUAUUUAAAAGAUAAAGAUGUGGGGUGCCCGGGUGGCUCAGUCAGUUAAGCGUCCGACUUCCGCUCAGGUCAUGAUCUCCUGGCUCGUGAGUUUGAUAAUCACUUUUAUUGUGUUAAGCUACAGGGAUUUGGGGGUUAUUUAUCAAAACAGAUAGUAUUACUUAGUCUAACUAAAAUGGUUGCUAUAUAUGAGUUGGCAUUUCCUUCAGAAAAAAUGGGGACUGGGGCGCCUGGGUGGCGCAGUCGGUUAAACGUCGGACUUCAGCCAGGUCAUGAUCUCGCGGUCCGUGGGUUCGAGCCCCGCGUCAGGCUCUGGGCUGAUGGCUCAGAGCCUGGAGCCUGUUUCUGAUUCUGUGUCUCCCUCUCUCUCUGCCCCUCCCCCGUUCAUGCUCUGUCUCUCUCUGUCCCAAAAAUAAAUAAACGUUGAAAAAAAAAUUUUUUUAAAAAGAAAAAAUGGGGACAAAUAAUGUUUAUCACAUUAGGGCUUUUGUGGGAAUUAAAAUAAUGUGAACACAAUGCCUUGCAUAUGGUAGUUAUUCAGUAGCUAUUAUCACUGUCGUUCAGUAGAUAUUAUCACUGUCAUCUUUAUCAUUUUAUUAUAAUUCUUUCCUCUUCCCUGGAAAAAUGCAUUCUUCUCUCUCCAUUGUUCAUAGUGACACUUUUGGCAGAAUCGGAAAACCUCUUUUUUGUUCAUUAGAGCUGUUACAGUAUUCAUAAGGUUUUUAAAGGAUUUGAAGGGUUCUCUAUUGACAAAGCCUGUGGAAAUUUUUGUGAUGGCUACAGUGAUUUGAUUCUUCAAAUAACUCCAUAUCCUGCAAGUAAUUAUUUCUUUCUUAAUAGAAUCUCUAAGUGAGUUUUGGUAUGGUUUUAUGGGUCACAAAAUGAUGCAUUAAUUCUCCUUGGAAACUUAAUUCAGUGACUCCAUUUGCAGUGGUAUUAAAGCCCUAGGGCAGCUACAGAGAAAGACCACUUUUUAUAACAUUUACUAACAAUUAUUUGGGGUAAACUGGGCUUAUGUCUUUUUUUCUUAUUCUGCCUAGAGAUUCAACUUUUUACCUUGUUCUGUUAGAUGAACACUGCUCACUGGGGUUAUUGAAUUCUAUGAUUAUUUUAUUUUGUCUGAAUUUAUCCAUCAUACUUUUUUUCCCCCCUCUUCUGGAAACUGAUCAACAGCUAAGAACGUGAGCAGAGUCCAAAUAGGGGAAGCAAAAUUCAACCUGCUGAAUCUCAUUAGCAGAUUGCUCGUGCCUUCUGCAUCUUGGAAACACAUCAUUCCAAAGCGUGUGGGGAAGCUGUUCAUUGUUCCAAGGGAAGGUACGCCUGUGGAUAUGGCAGUCUUGGGGUACUUACCCAGGAAUUAUUUCUUCGUUUCUUUAUUAAACUUUAUUUAUUUAUUUUUAAAGAGAAAGAGAGAGAGAGAGAGAGAGAGAGAGGCAGAGAGAGAGGGAGAGAGAAUCCCAAGCAGGCUCUGCACUAACAGUGUAGAUAUGGGGCUCGAACUCACAAAUCACGAGAUCAUGACCUGAGCCAAAAUCAUGAGUCUUAACGCUCAACUGACUGAGCCACCCAAGCACCCCUGCCCAGGAAUUAUUUCUGAUUAUAGAUAUUAGUUGCUUUUAUUUUUGUGACUUAAAAAAAUCUUAUAUAUAGGAUUAUAGAUUUUAAUUCUUAUUAAAAUCUUUGACUCCAAGUCAAGUCAUUUAAGUCUUGAAUUCAGGAAGAAUGACAUUAGAUAAUGUGUUUAAUUUUUUGUUGUUAUUGUUCUUUUUAGAUCAUCAGCUAUUAGAUUUUAAUUAAGCUGCUUUUUAUUUUAUUAUUUUUUAAAUGUUUAUUCGUUUUUGAGAAAGAGAGAAAGAGACAGAGCAUGAGCAGGGGAGGGGCAGAGAGAGAGGGAGACACAAAAUCGGAAACAGGCUCCAGGCUCUGAGCUGUCAGCAGAGUCUGACGGGGGGACAUGAACUAAGGAAAUGAGAGAUUAUGACCUGAGUCGAAGUCAGAUGCUUAACUACCUGAGCCACCUAGGUGCCCCUAAGCUACCUUUUAUUUUAAGGAUUAGUCUAAGACAUCUGGCUUUCAGUAUUGUUUCCAAUAUUAAAAUUCUGUGAUAAUUUCCAUCUUAUUGAUUUUUAUGGGUCAUGUAAUCAUAAGAUCAAUAAUAAUGAUGACAAUAAUAACUAAAGUUUUUGGACUAUCUAUGUGUCACGUACUGCACAGUGGCUUUUGACUGUAGUAUCUUGUUUAACGUAAAAUAGCCUACACAAAUUGCAUCCAUUCCAUCCAAAGAAGUUAACUGUAAUGCAACAUUCACUGAGCCUACCCUAAUAGGCCUGUGCUGGUCACCAAAAGGGGAGUGGAAGGUUACAACAUGCUUCCAUACAAAUUGGUUCCAAAGCUAAUGACCUUAUGACAUUUUCUGAUUUUAUCCUUUCUUUGCUUUCUUUGCUUAGAUGAAAAAACAAGUUUAGGGCAGUCAAGUGACUGUCUUAAGUUCACACAACAUUUAGGGACUGGAGGUAGGAGACAAGUUCAUUUUAGCACAUACACUUUCAGACUUUUGGACUUCUACAUAUUGUAAAAAAUAGCAUCAUGAUGUGCAUUCGACUUUGUAAUAUGAGUCAACCGUGUGUCUCACAUAUCUUUUCAUGUCAAUAAAUACUUUUCACACACAAAAAACCCUCUCAUGUAAUUCAUACACACAAAAAACUGUCAAUUUGAACACUUUUUUUUACAUGUUUAUCCACAAAUCUUUUAUGUUUUCAGUUAAAUCUUUUAAAAGUUGUUUGUUUGGGGGAUGCUUUUCCAAACAGGCCAAUAUUCUUGAGACCCUGAGACCUGUGAACAAAGUGCCUAGUUGAAUAAACUUGUAAUAUGUCAGGGUGAAUCACAGAGCUCAAGGACUUUUGUGGGGGAAUAUAUGAUUUACUCUGCAAAAAUGAGAGAUUAUCUAACAAUGUGCAAGAAUUGUUUAUACACAUGUAAGUGUCCAUUUCUAUACAUCACCUUAUGCUCCAAAAGGAGUCUUUCCUCCUAAGACAAACAAUUCUCUGCCCUCUGGCUUUAGCAAUCAGUCAGGGAAGAGUUACUCCCUUUUGGUCUGUUUCCAGUUAAUGGAGUUAAGGUUUGGGCUCUGGGCUAUGGAGGAGUUUCUUUUAGUAAAAUAGACUUCCCCUGGGAAGGAGUCUUUAGUGUACUUUAGAGAACAACUCCGUUGUCGAAGAGCACUUCCUUUAAAAGACACGCUGGGUGUUUUAAACACAUCAUUUAUAGAAUGUGUCUUCCUGAGGAUUCAGGAUAUUUAGCAAUUUUGCAUUGAUGAAUCUGAUGGGAGAGUCCCUGGUACCUCCGAGAUGGAUGGCUUGUGUAUACUUGCCAAAGAGUGAUACUACAUGACCUCAGAGGCAGAGAAGAGAAGGGACCUAACAGUGGUUCCUAACCGGGAUGGCACUUUACAUGAUGGAAGCAUCUGGCUAGGUGUUGGGAGAAAUCUCAUGCUAUUUCGAUAACUUGGGGUCUCCAAGUAUUUAUUGCCUAAGACCUAUUCUGCGUUAUAUCCGGCAGAUCUAUGUUGGCUAGAAUCAUUCCACUCAAAAUGCCAGCAGCAUUUCGUUGAAAAAUCUUGAAAGAUCCUAGAUUCUAUGAAGACAAGUGAAAAUUAAAAACAAGAAGCUUAGUUCUCCUUGUUGAAAACAAAGGAAGAGAUUUCCCUCGGUUCCUUUUCCUUAGAGUAUUGACUUUAGAAAAUUGUAACAUUAAGUACCUUCUCUUCUCUUUGAGAUGUAUACAAAUCCUUUGGAGGAUGAGGUAGGACUUUUGUCAGCCUUGUGAACCAAGAAGAUCUUUUUCAAGGAUCUAGGAAAAGGAGCCAUAACUUUGAAAUGUCACGUCAAGAGAGAUAUCACUCCUCUCUUAUAGUUUCUGUGGAGAUAUGUGCUUAACUUUGGGUGUCCGGCUCAAAGUUGCAACAUUUAUGACCUCCUGUCAUAAAUAUAUGAGAAGUAGUUUCUCCUUUGGAGAAAGCCAAUUAGUUAACACAGAUGGUCACCUCAAUUACCAAGCAAGUUUAGGAUGAACUAUGUAUGAAAAACUGUGCUGUCAAGUUCUCUCACUUGAGGGCUCGUUAUUAUUUUGCAAACAUGUACAUGAUGAGUUCUAUCUGCUUAGCUCUGUGAAAGAGUGAGAUUUCUUCCCGUUUGCAAUCUCUUAAUUGAAUGCUUGUGAUGUGUAUCACAUUCUGGCUUAAUGCCAUAAAAAUGCUUUCUUUCUCUAUUAUCUUUGCAGAGAGGAUAGAAGACAGAAGAUUUGUUUUUUUUAAUUAUAUUUUCCCAAUAGCUUCUACGGCAACGGGAAAACUAGAGUGUACUUAUCAUUCUUGUUAUGUGUUUAGGAAAGUAACAUAUGCGGGUUGCUGAGGUUUAUUUGGUCACUCACUUUUCCACUGAUCAAGGUGUUUUUACAAUACUACUAUUUUCCAGAUUAAAAACUUGUUUUAAUGUUUAUUCAUUUUUGAGAGAGAGAGAGAGAGAGAGCGCGCAAGCAGGGGAGGGGCAGAGAGAGAGGGAGACACAGAAUCUGAAGCAGGCUCCAGGCUCUGAGCUGUCAGCACAGAGUCUGACAUGGGGUUCAAACUCACAGACAGAGAGGUCAUGAGCUGAGAUGAAGUUGGAUGCUUAACUGACUGAGCCACCCAGGUGCCCCAGCGAUAACUUUUACUAAAAGAAAAAUUUUAUAAGGUGGAAUAGGUGGGCUCAUCAUGAAGAAAUUUUCACCAAUUUUCUCUUUCUUAUCAAUGGAAUCUUAAUUUUGUUGGAGGUCUCCAUAAACAUAUUUUUCUAGACUUCCUUUCAUUAAAAAAAAUUUUUUUUAACGUUUAUUUAUUAUUGAGACAGAGAGAGACAGAGCAUGAACGGGGUAGGGUCAGAGAGAGGGAGACACAAAAUCGGAAACAGGCUCCAGGCUCUGAGCUGUCAGCACAGAGCCCAACGCAGGGCUUGAACUCAUGACCACGAGACUCAUGACCUGAGCCAAAGUCGGCCGCUUAACCAACUGAGCCACCCAGGCGCCCCACUAGACUUCCUUUCAAAUAGAAGUGGCUAUGUGAUGAAAUUCUGAGCAAUGACAUUAAGGAGAAGCUAUUGAAUUGGAUUUAUGAGGAAGUUAUUUCAAACAGCUUUUGCCCUUCUUCCCUUUCUCCUUCAUUUCUAGUUGGCCUAGAAUGUGGAUGUGAUGACUAGAUGUCUAGCAGCCAUCUUGGGCAAAAAAGCAACUACAAGGAUGGAAACCAUUCACUGAUGAUGGUGGACUAGAAAGAUGAAAUUAUGUGAGGUGCCCUACAUACUUGCUUCCUGAUUUCUUUGAUGUGAAAGAAAUGUAAACCUCCAUCUUGUUUAGAAAUUUCUCUUUGCCACCAAACUUAAUCCUAAUUGAUUUAGGAAUCGUUCAUGCAUUUCCCUUUGAACAAAUUAAAUAUGAGGACACCCAGAUGUAGAUAUCAAGUGUAUAGUUAACACAUGCUUUGUAGGUUCUUCAAGUGCCAAGACACAGUGGGUGCUCAAAAAAUAUUUAUUUAAUGAACUGAAGAGAGAGCUCUGGAGGUAAGAAGUUUUUGAACGAUUGGCCAGUGUGUGGUGGUUGAAGAAUAACUCUCCCUAAUGGGGAUUAUGUAGAGUAAAAAGACAAUCAAGGAUGUUAUAAGGACUAAUAUACAGACAUUUAGUAAGAUGUAUUGAGUUUUCUCAUUCUUUAACAUAAACCUGUAUUUCCAUUUAUUCAAGCCUUCUUUUUUUUUAUUUAAAAAAAUUUUUUUUAACGUUUAUUUAUUUUUGAGACAGAGAGAGACAGAGCAUGAACAGGGGAGGGGCAGAGAGAGAGAGGGAGACACAGAAUCAGAAGCAGGCUCCAGGCUCUGAGCCAUCAGCCCAGAGCCCGACGUGGGGCUCGAACUCAUGGACCGUGAGAUCGUGACCUGAGCUGAAGUUGGACACUUAACCGACUGAGCCACCCAGGCGCCCCAUUCAAGCCUUCUUUAAUGUCUCUGGUAAGCUUAUAAUUUUAUCUGUACUGGUCUUGGAAAUUUAUUGUUGGGUUUAUGCCUAAGUAUGUUGUACUUUUUAUUACUAUUAUGAGUUAAAUUUUUGAAAAAAAUCUUUUUUUUUUCUUUCAAAAAUGUUUUUUAAAUGUUUAUAUGUCUUUAAGAGAGAGAGAGAGAGAGAGAGACAGAGACAAAGCAGGGGAAGGGCAGAGAGAGAGGGAAACAUAGAAUUUGAAGCAGGGUCCAGGCUCUGAGCUGUUGGCACAGAGCCUGACGCAGGGCUCAAACUCAUGAAGCAUGAGAUCAUGACCUGAGCUGAAGUUGGAUGCUUAACGACUGAGCCACCCAGGUGCCCCUUUUCUUUCUUUAAUGUUUAUUUUUGACAGAGAGAGAGAGAGAGAGAGAGAGAGAGAGACACCAAGCAGGGGAGGGGCAGAGAUAGGACAGAUGAUCUGAAGUGGGCUAUGUGCUGACAGCAGAGAGCCCAUGUGGGGCUCAGACUUACAAAGCGUGAGACCAUGACCUGAGCCGAAAUUGGCCGCUUACCCACUGAGCCACCUAAGCGCCUCAAAAAAAUUAAGUUUUUCUUUUUUUUUUUUUUUUAAAUUUUUUUUUUCAACGUUUAUUUAUUUUUGGGACAGAGAGAGAGACAGAGCAUGAACGGGCGAGGGGCAGAGAGAGAGGGAGACACAGAAUCGGACACAGGCUCCAGGCUCUGAGCCAUCAGCUCAGAGCCCGACGCGGGGCUCGAACUCACGGACCAUGAGAUCGUGACCUGGCUGAAGUCGGACGCUUAACCGACUGCGCCACCCAGGCGCCCCAAAAUUAAGUUUUUCAAUGAGACACUGAUCGUGUUUUGAAAACUAUGGAAGCUUCUGUGUUGAUCUUGUGUCUAACCACCUCUGCCAGACUGAAAUUUCUCAGUUGAUUUUCUAAAUUGAUAAUAUCACUUCAAAUAAUAAUAGUUUCAUCUCUUUCAUUUUCAUUUCUUCUCUCUUAUUUCAUGGGCCAGCAUCUCUAAUACAAUGAUGUAUUGUAGUGCAAAGAGCAGCCAAACUUGUCUUAUUUACUUGAACAUUUAAUUGAAAUGCUUCUAACAUCUCAUUAUUAAGCAUGAUUUUCAUUAAGGCAUUUUGAAAAAAAAAAACAUGCUUUAUCAAGUUAGAAAAUUGCCCCCCCCCUUUUUUUUGGCCAAUGAGCAAUACUUCCAGUCCACAUCCUGGAUCAGUUUCCUAUUUCCAUCACUUCCAGUCAUAUAGCACCUUUGAUAUGGCUCAUAUAUCCCAGAGAUAUACCUAAUUUUGUGCACCUAGUAUGCAAGCCCUCUCUUCAAUGCUUCAGGUAUUUUGUUAAUUCCUCACAUACAUUUUCUGUUCUGCUGAGAGUUUUUUUAAUUUUAGAGCAUGACUAUAUAUUUAUUAUCAUAUUAUGGUAUCUUUUAUAAUAUUUCUGGGAACAUGAUGCAGGAAGGGAACAUUGAGGUGUGCAUUAAUUUGGAAAUGUUGACAACUGACAGUCUGCAUGAGCAUAGUAAAUAUUUAUAAGAAUUUAAAAGAGUUCAGAGGAUUUAUUUAAGACUUUAUAAACUUGAUCAACUUUAAAACUUGAUCAACUUUAAAAACUUGAACAUUAAUUGUUAAAUACUUGCCUUCUAUAUGAACUUUGUGUAAUAUAUCAACUGUUUUAAAAACAAUGUAUUUUUAAAUAGUACUUCAAUAGUUAUUGACAUAAAAAUUCAAUAUGUGUUUUGUAAUUUUUUUCUUAUAUCAAAACUUUGGAGUUUUAAAAAGUAUAUAGAGGGGCGCCUGGGUGGCGCAGUCGGUUGAGCGUCCGACUUCAGCCAGGUCACGAUCUCGCGGUCCGUGAGUUCGAGCCCCGCGUCGGGCUCUGGGCUGAUGGCUCAGAGCCUGGAGCCUGUUUCCGAUGCUGUGUCUCCCUCUCUCUCUGCCCCUCCCCCGUUCAUGCUCUGUCUCUCUCUGUCCCAAAAAUAAAUAAACGUUGAAAAAAAAAUUUUUUUAAAGUAUAUAGAUUUCUUAAUUAUGUUUGUCCUUUCAAAUGAAUGGUGUCUUUCAAAUGGCUGAUUUCUCAUUUUUUCCAUACCAUGGUUAAUAUAAACUGAAUAAUAGUAAUUGUUGGAAGUUGUUGAGAUUUCAUUUGUGGUCUAGUAUUUUAUCAAUUGUUGUAAAUGUUCCUUUCAUUGGUGUUUAAGAAAGGAUGACUGUUAAAUCAAGUAUAUUGGUUGUUAAUAAUUUUCUCUAUAGUAACUCUGUUUUUGUCUGCUUGAUAUUUUGAGAAGUUAAGCUCUGUUCUACUAAUAGUAAACUUCUCAAAUUCUCCUAUAAGUUCUAUCAAUUUGCUAUGCUUAGAUUGAAGUUGUGUUAUUAGGUGUACAAAUAUUCAUGAUAUAUAUUAAUCUUAGGUUUGAAAAUUUUAUUACUGUAAAUUUCCAGUACUUUUUCUUUGAUUCUUAUUUGAUUUUAAAAUUCUUUGCCAUUCUUCUUUACAUUAACGUUUUUAUGUUCUUUCUUUUCCUGUCCUUUUAUUUUUUAACUUUUCUAUACCAAUUUGGUUUCUUAUUUAUAGAGAGAACUUGCCUUGAUUUUUAAAAAUGUUACCUAAUAGUCAGUGUUAUAAUAAGAAAGUUUAUCUAUUUAUAUUUAUUUUCAUUACUGCUAUGUUUCUAGCUAUUUAAAUCAUUUUAUUUUAUGUUUUACAAUGUAAACUUUUCCUAUUUUUCUAUCCUGACUUUAAAUGGGAUAAUUAAGUUUUCCUUGUUCUCCUUUUUCCUCUGCUGGAUAUAUAUUAUACUAAACAUACAUUUUGUUCUCAAAAUAUUUAGAAUAAAACCCUUAUCACAAAGUAAAAGUUUAACAUGUCUUACUUCCUUUUGUACUUCACUUCCACUUCCUUUCUGUCUUCAAACUUACAUUUUGAUACAACUUGGACUUUUAGAUACAGAUUUUUUAAAAAAGAUCAAUGAAUUUUGAUAAUAAUGUUUUACUCAUUUUUUCCUCUUCAUUAUUUGUUGUAUUCUAUUCUUCUUAGAGUGAUUUUUCUUGUCAUAAAACAUUUUCUAGUAACUUUCCUAAAGAUAAAUGAUGAGUAUUAAAUAGUACUUCAAUGCUUGAAAAUGUGUUUUAUUUUGAAUAAAAUAUAGAUCUCUGAGUUUAUAGGUAUGGUAGACUGCAAAAAUGGCCCUGAUUCUUUACUCAUCCCUGAAUCUGUGGCUUGAUUCUGGGCUUGGGUCACAUGACUUGCUUCAGCAAAUAGGAUGUUAGUGAAUACAACACAAGCAGAAUAUUGUUUUAUUGCUCUUGUAUGCAGCCAUUGUCUGGAACCAACCUAGCCCAGUUAUCCCAUAGGAAGCCACCCUAGAUUAGCCAUACAUAAGGAUGAGCCUGACUGAGACCAGAAAAAUCACUGAACAGAGUUGAGCCUCAAUGGCUAAUUUGCAGGCUGAUGAGCUAAAUAAAUCAGUAUUGUUUCAAGACUCUGUUUUGGAGUGGCAUUUUUGUGUCAGUAGAUGACUGACAAAACAGGUGUCUUUGCCACUUGGAAGAUAUUGUUCCAUCCUAAAUAUGGUAGAACUGUUGAUAAGUAUAAUAGAAAUGUGAUUGCUUUUCUUUUAAACACUCUGUAGAUAAAAACUUUCUGGACUUUUCCUUUGCCAAGAUGUUCAGAAGUAUAUAAUAUAUCUAUAUAUCUGUAUCUAUGAACAUAUAUACAUACACACACUCACACUAUAUCUAUAUCUAUAAAACUAAUAUUUUCACUGGAUGCAUUUAUAAGCAUGUUAAUGCAAAGAAAAAUAUAUGCACGAAUACUGGGAUACAGAUAGAGGAAAAGGGAAUAUUGUUUUCAACUCAGCGCUUCAGACUUGUACUGAAUGAGCAGUCAAGAUGGAACUGGAAGAGUUGAGUUAGGGCAAUGGCAGAAUACUGAAGUCUACUGCUGUAAUACAAAUUCCUAGACUGGAGUGAAGAUCUAAGGUUCACGGUAUCAUAUGCUUCUUGGCUUUGGGUAUCUGCCUAUAGGAUUACCAUGUUGGGGCUGAUAAACCCAGAGCCCAAAAACACAUUUUUUUUAUAAGACUCUACCCAGAGUCCCCAAAUCUGUAACAAUAGGAAGGGGUUGCUAAUGUUAAGAGAAAUUCUCCCCCAUGCCUUUCUCACAAGUGAUCUUCAAGAACAAAUGUAGGGAUGAUCAAUCAUUCCAGAGAGCAAAACUAAGGACGUUUUUCCUUUGGUGGACCUUAUUUGUAGCUUCCUUUUCUCUGCUGAGUGAGUUACUAGAUCUGUACCCACUUUCUAUCCUCAAAACCUUUUUGACAUUCUAAGUAAUUCAAAGAACCAGUUACCAGAAUUGCUAGAAUAUGUGUUCCAUCAAAAGGACAAAUGAAUCUUAGAUUAUUUAAAAAUUAAACAACAAACAAAGCAAAACAGUUAUCUCAGUUUCUGCCUUUUGUUAAAAAGUUGAAUUCAUGGUAUUUUUCUUGCUCUUUCUUUUAUUUUAUUGUUUUUUUUUUUUUACCUCUAUAUCUGUAUCUCUAUACAUCUGUUCUACUGAAGUUCUAGGAGUAAGAAAAAAGUUGUAGUACACUACUUAUCCCAACAACAUUUAUAGCUAGUUACCAUGUUAGCCCUGACUAUGACCCCAUUGGUGUGAUGGGGGAAGGGGAAUAAAGUGAGAUAGACCAUAUCAAAGAAUCCAAAAAUCAUGAUAAAACUGAUAAAUUUCAGGUGGCAAUAUAUUCACAUAUUUAGGAAUGCAGAAGGAAAAAAAAAAAAAAGAAAUGGCUCAAGAGUUGAAAAUGGCAGUAAGCAGAACUGUUUUUUCCGGACGUAUCUUUUGGUAGUAUUUGAUUUUUGAAAACCAUGUACACCCAUGAAACAUUUGUAACUAGUUUUGAAAAUAAAACAUAUAUCUUUGAUAUUAUUCUAUUGUCUAUAUAAUGGAAAGCUAUUUUCAAAGAUAUAACAGAGAGGAAUAUAAAGGAACUAUAGGAAUUAGUGUCUGAGUCCUUUCAAGAAGACGGUGCCAAAAGCAAAGAAGGAAGCCCCUGCCCCUCCCAAAGCCACAGCCAAAGCAGAGGCUUUGAAGGCCAAGAAAGCAAUGCUGAAAGGGGUCCCAGAGUCACAGAAAAAAGAAGAUCUGCGUGUCACCUACCUUCCCAUGGCCCACAACACUGUAUCUCCAAAGGCAGCCCAAAUAUCCGUGAAAGAGUGCCCCCGGGGGAAACAAGCUUGACCACCAUGCUGUCAUCAAGAUUCCCCUGACUCCAGAGUCGGGUGUAAAGAAACUAGAUGACAACAACACACUUGAGUUCACUGUGGAUGUCAAGGCCAACAAGCACCAGAUCAAACAGGCUGUGAAGAAGCUUUAUGACAUGGAUGUGGCCAAGGUCAACACCCUGAUUAGGCCUCGUGGGGAGAAAGAGGUGUAUGUUCUACUGACUCCUGAUUGUGAUGCUUGGGAUGUUGCUAACCAAAUCGGGAUCAUCUAAACGAAGCCCAGUUGGCUACAUAUCAAUAUACAUUUUUCCACCAUAAAAAAAAAGAAU
RNAcentral lists this long non-coding RNA (15058 nucleotides) under Lynx pardinus (Iberian lynx). Lineage: Eukaryota; Metazoa; Chordata; Mammalia; Carnivora; Felidae. The record is from RNAcentral.